GCUAGGCACAGUGGCACAUGUCUAUAAUUCUAGCAACUCAGGAGGCUGAGGCAGGAGGAUCACAGGUUUGAGGCCAGCCUCAGAAAUUUAGGGAGACCCUGCCUCAU
Molecule: small RNA, 107 nt
Filed under: Marmota monax (woodchuck)
Lineage: Eukaryota; Metazoa; Chordata; Mammalia; Rodentia; Sciuridae
Source: RNAcentral